RNAcentral lists this long non-coding RNA (544 nucleotides) under Amborella trichopoda. RNAcentral's name for it is "long non-coding RNA (ATRI_LNC000388)". Lineage: Eukaryota; Viridiplantae; Streptophyta; Magnoliopsida; Amborellales; Amborellaceae. The record is from RNAcentral.
UGGACUCCAAGAUUCUCCAUCUCUCUCUCUUAACACGCAAUCGAAACUAUCGAAUUUUCUGCACUGCACCGUCUUUUCCCCCAUCAAUCUCAAAUUCCGUUUCUUUUGGACCACAGUAUGAUUCACAGGAUGAAGUUUUGAGCUCUCUCUCUGUAACGUUUUUGUGAUGAAUUCGGAGAGCAUAUUUGUUUUAUGGUGGCGUGAAGGAGACCAAUAUCCACAUGAUAAGUGGAAUUCCCAGGUAUCCAUUACCCAUUUCGCCUGCAAUAUUUUUAAGCACCUUAUCAAGAGAGUAUCUAAAUGUAACAUAUCCCUGUUCUUAUUCGUUUUCGGAACAUGUGAAGGGAUCCGAAGAUUGCAGAUAUGGGAUGAUAAACUGGACUGAACCGCUGCGGAAUUGUGACCUUCCACCUCCUCAUGGCCCCCAAAUUCAAAGGAGAUGUUUGUUUAGAGAGAGAAAGAGAAGCCACCCUUAUUCAUUCAUAGGUGAUGGUACUGAUGCAUCGCUCCCUGCUCACACAACUAAUGGCCGAGUAAUUCCAAG